This 464-nucleotide long non-coding RNA is filed under the name Numida meleagris (helmeted guineafowl). RNAcentral describes it as "lncRNA (ENSNMEG00000019089.1)". Lineage: Eukaryota; Metazoa; Chordata; Aves; Galliformes; Numididae. The record is from RNAcentral.
AAACUUGGGAAAAAAUAAAUAAAGAAAACCCUACAAACUUUUGAGUCUGAAUUAAUUUAAUGAAUCUCCAUAACUCUCCUUUGCAGGCAUGGUCUCAGUUACCAGCAUGCUAGGAGAUGACCUGGACCAACAUCCAGGCAGGAAAGACGCAAGCUGAGCACUCAGCAGUUUAGGACUCCAAAGCUGAGUUGCCCACAGAAAGGUUGCAGGCUCAUCAAUGAGAUUUACAGCCUGCUAACUUGUCCAUAAUAAGAACUCCAGCAGCAAGAAUUACAAAGCCCAUGAAGGACUACUCCUGCCUUUGGAAAAAAGCACCCUCACCCUAAAAAGAAGCCAGUGGCAACUCAGAACAUGUAUUGACAAUAGCUGCAUAGCAUUGUCAAGUAAAAUAACCACAAAAGGCAAGUGAUUUUUGCUUACUUGACUCUUUCAAUAUACUGUACAAUUAAGCUGGCUGUUGUAUU